This 254-nucleotide ribosomal RNA is filed under the name uncultured bacterium. RNAcentral describes it as "partial 16S ribosomal RNA". It matches the Rfam family "Bacterial small subunit ribosomal RNA", at positions 524 to 776 of the family's 1533-position model. The record is from RNAcentral.
UACGUAGGGUGCAAGCGUUGUCCGGAAUUAUUGGGCGUAAAGAGCUCGUAGGCGGUUUGUCGCGUCUGCUGUGAAAACUCGGGGCUCAACUCCGAGCUUGCAGUGGGUACGGGCAGACUAGAGUGCGGUAGGGGAGACUGGAAUUCCUGGUGUAGCGGUGGAAUGCGCAGGAUAUCAGGAGGAACACCGGUGGCGAAGGCGGGUCUCUGGGCCGUAACUGACGCUGAGGAGCGAAAGCAUGGGGAGCGAACAGG